GAUGAACGCUGGCGGCGUGCUUAACACAUGCAAGUCGAACGGAAAGGCUCCUGCUUUCCGGGGUACUCGAGUGGCGAACGGGUGAGUAACACGUGUGUGAUCUGCCCUGCACUUCGGGAUAAGCCUUGGAAACUGCGUCUCAUACCGGAUAUGACGAUGUUUUGCAUGCCAUUGUGUAAAGUUGUUCGGUUUGGGUUGGGCUCGUGGCUUAUUCGCUUGUUGGUGAGGUAAUGGCCUACCAAGGCGUCGACGGGUAGCCGGCCUGAGAGGGUGUACGGCCACAAUGGGACUGAGGUACGGCCCAGAAUGCUACGGGAGGCAGCAGUGGGGAAUAUUGCAGAAUGGGCGCAAGCCUGAUGCAGCGACGCCGCGUGGGGGAUGACGGCUUUCGGGUUGUAAACAACUUUCGCUAGGGACGAAGAGCAAGUGACGGUACCUGGAGAAGAAGCAACGGCUAACUACGUG
RNAcentral lists this ribosomal RNA (465 nucleotides) under uncultured bacterium. Its description in RNAcentral is "partial 16S ribosomal RNA". It matches the Rfam family "Bacterial small subunit ribosomal RNA", at positions 28 to 507 of the family's 1533-position model. The record is from RNAcentral.